CCUACGGGAGGCAGCAGUGAGGAAUAUUGGUCAAUGGGCGGAAGCCUGAACCAGCCAAGUCGCGUGAGGGAGUAAGGCCCUACGGGUUGUAAACCUCUUUUGCCGGGGAGCAGUGCCCACCUCGUGUGCUGGGAGGGCGCGUACCCGGAGAAAAAGCAUCGGCUAACUCCGUGCCAGCAGCCGCGGUAAUACGGAGGUUGCGAGCGUUAUCCGGAUUUAUUGGGUUUAAAGGGUGCGUAGGCGGGCUGUCAGGCCGGCGGUAAACUUGCGGGGCUCAACCCUGCCGAGCCGUCGGAACCGGGGGCCUUGAGUACCGGAGAGGUACGCGGAAUGCGUGGUGUAGCGGUGAAAUGCAUAGAUAUCACGCAGAACCCCGAUGGCGAAGGCGGCGUACCGGCCGGUCACUGACGCUGAGGCACGAAAGCGCGGGUAUCGAACAGGAUUAGAUACCCGAGUAGUC
This 460-nucleotide ribosomal RNA is filed under the name uncultured bacterium. RNAcentral describes it as "partial 16S ribosomal RNA". It matches the Rfam family "Bacterial small subunit ribosomal RNA", at positions 338 to 795 of the family's 1533-position model. The record is from RNAcentral.